RNAcentral lists this ribosomal RNA (254 nucleotides) under uncultured bacterium. RNAcentral's name for it is "partial 16S ribosomal RNA". It matches the Rfam family "Bacterial small subunit ribosomal RNA", at positions 524 to 776 of the family's 1533-position model. The record is from RNAcentral.
UACGUAGGGUGCAAGCGUUGUCCGGAAUUAUUGGGCGUAAAGAGCUCGUAGGCGGUCUGUCACGUCGGCUGUGAAAACUCGGGGCUCAACCCCGAGCCUGCAGUCGAUACGGGCAGACGUAGAGUCCGGCAGGGGAGACUGGAAUUCCUGGUGUAGCGGUGAAAUGCGCAGAUAUCAGGAGGAACACCGGUGGCGAAGGCGGGUCUCUGGGCCGGAACUGACGCUGAGGAGCGAAAGCGUGGGGAGCGAACAGG